This 5142-nucleotide long non-coding RNA is filed under the name Mytilus galloprovincialis (Mediterranean mussel). The record is from RNAcentral. Lineage: Eukaryota; Metazoa; Mollusca; Bivalvia; Mytilida; Mytilidae.
CAAGUUUCACAUUUAAUUUACCACUCUUGAAACAGGAAAAAAAUCAUAAAUAAUGUUCUAUUUACAAAACAAGACAAACAAAUAAAAUGUAAUGUACAUAAAACAAAUAGAUAUGAUAUCCAACAAUAUUUUCUGUGAUAUAUAAUCAUAUAACAUCAGCUGUGCUCCAGAUUGACAUAUUUUUAGAAUUUCACCCUCACAAUCUGACUAAAUACCACUGUCAUUUUAAAAUCAGGGAGUACAAAAUACACUUAUGAUAUAUUCUUUCCUGCAAUGAAAUAAGAGCUGUAAUUUUUUUUCUUGACAAAUCGUAAAACAUUUCUUCAAAUCAAAUAUGUUUUAUCAAUCUGAGCAUCUUUUUCAAUAGGUAAUUUUACUGUUUCUUUGAUUUAGAUUAGAAGUCAGAAGGGAGGGGUGAUUGUACAUUGUAUUUCAAAAAUAUGGAAGAUAUCCCAUUCAAUUUAAAUUAAUCUGGAGCUAUGCAUUAACACUAUAUGUUUAUAAUUGAAAAACUACCCUGCACUUAUAAAACCACCAAUAUUGUUAAAAUUUAGUUUGUUAAUUUUAUAAGAUUAUUUUUAUUUAAAAGUGCUACAAUUUUCAAAUAGAAGAAAUUAUCUAACCUAUAAUAACAAUAUAUACAUGAUUUAUAGAGGUGCUCAUUGUUAAAUAAUGUGUGACCAAAACAAAAAUCAACUACAAGGUGGAAAGAAAAUAUGCAAGUAUCAAAUAUCUAUUCCUUCAUCCAAACUUUUACAUUUCUUGCUUAUAUUAAAUCAUCAGACUUUUACUCCCUCGCAUCAUGAUGCAUGAUGAAUCUUUCAUUUGCAAAUUAUACAACAGUUAACAUUUAUAAUAAAAACCUUUCAUAAGUAAAAUAAUAAAUAAGAAGCUGGAUAUAUUUUAGCUGUUUUUCUUGGCACUCUUAGCUGACUAAAACGUGCUAAUGUCAUCACAGAUGUACUUCAAACAAUAAACUACAUGUACAAGGAUGAGGAGGGGGUGACACGCUUAUGGGAUGCGAGAUAUAGGGGGUAAGAAAAGUGGCGGUGUGAUAUAUAUGGGGUAAAAUAAAUGGGGAUGUUGGAUAUACUGGGGUACAAAGUGGAAUUUAGGAAAAAGAAGAAAACAAUUGGAGAGUGAGAAAAAAGUACAAAAAAGCAGGAUUUUAGAAAUGAGCAACCCUGUGUCAUCCCCUCAAGCAUGGCAAUGUUUUCUGCUGACAGUUUAUAAUGAUAUAUAACAUAAAACAUAAACACCAACAUGAUAGUACAGUGAUUCUAAAUAUCUAAGUAAUAAAAUGUUGCAAUUAAUAAAAACCCUAUUGUUGCUUCAACAAAAAGGUAUUUAUAUGAAGACAAUUAAGUCUUUUAAAAAUAGGACUUAUUUGUAUGAAAUACUUAAAAUCUAUUAUAUCACCUUUAUUGUUAAGUACAAAUUCAUCAUUCAUUUGAAUAAAGAGUUAAAAUUAAUUUAGAUAUAUUAUUAUUCAUGUAAUACCCAUUUUUAUGGGUUUCAAGGGUACAUGUUAACCACAAAUAAAUGUUCAACCAAGAACAAACUUUUUAUGCAGACUUUUGUGAUCCAUGAAAUAUAAUAUACCCAUGAAAAUACAAUUUUUACCAAGAAAAAUAGUACAAAUAUUAAUGAAUCUACAAGAGCACUUGUUUCAAAUGCUAAUUUUUUUAAAUAUACAUUUCACUAUAAAAAAAAAUCGUUAACCUUUUUAAGAGCUCUGCAGGCUAAAUUUUAAAAUGUUCACGUUUUUCAAAUAUGAAUUUAUUUCUAUACAAAAACUUUCACACAAAUGUCAAACAACAGGGUUUUUUUUAUAGAAAAAAAAACAAAAACAAUCACAGAAAACGGUUUUAAAUAAAAAGUAUUACUAGUCAGAUAUUAAGAGAAUUUACAUAUAACAUACAAAAUUUACAAUGAAUCUUUUACUGGCCUUGCUAAUUUAUUUCAUUCAGCCUUCUUUACCUAACAGAUUAAUUAUUGUAAAGUUACUUUUGCAUGUGAUACCCUUACCAUAAUAUAGAUUAAUAGAUUAGAAUCUCUUAUAGAAACAGAAGCCUACUUAAUCAUCAAUAUCGUAGUUUCUUGAAACAUAUUAUGAAUAGAAAAUUUGACAUGUAUAAAUGAAUAGAAAACUGAGAAAUAGUUGUCAUUGUACUGGGCUGACAUGUAUUUCUUGAAUGAUUGUAAUUUAAAUCUUUUUCUCCGGGAUAGAUUGAUUGAUUGUUGCUUGCUUAACUUUCGGACCGGUGGGCAACAAUAUCAAUUGAAACUGAGGGUCACAUAAAAUCAACACAUUAAGGAAAUUUCAUCCUCAUACUCUUAAAUAUAACCACUGAGUAUUAUCAGGUUAUAUGAAGUCAAUAAUUAUUUUUAGUGAUAAAAAGAUAAACAAUUUUAAAUUUUAAUUAAAACAAAAGAAAAUAUAUCACACACUGUAAAGGCUAGUAACCUUAUUUACACAUUUCAACAAGAAAAUCAGUUUAUAUAUUUUAAAUCGACAGUAAGAAUGCACAUCUUAUAAAUAAUCAUCAUACUAAUAUUACAAAAGAAAAAAAUCAUGAAUUUUAGACAGGCUUUAUAGUCUAUGCAAGAACUUGACAACAGCUCCACCUCACAAAGCUUAAAAAUAAAUGUGUAAUUAGGCCAAAAAAAACCAAAAAUUUUUUAAUUAUUUUACUCAACCUAUUUAGAGAAUUCAAAUGAAAAAGUGUUUCUUUUAACCCUUAAUUAUUCCUACACAAAUGCAUGAGUGAAAAUAAACUGAUCAGUGUGAUUGCUUUAUAAUUGAAAGGGAUAAAAAUCAAAAAAUACAUUUUACAAAAUUUAAAUGCUUAACAGCAAAAAUAAUCAGUUUCAGAAAAAAAAUAUGUAUGAAGUCAGCAAAUAUAAUUUAUCUUUGAUAUGUUUAUAUUAAAUAGAUAUGUAAUUAAUAUUUAUGGAAUGCAUAAUUAUUAUUUUUAACAUGUUUCAUAACACAACUCGUCUCCUUAUUAUUGAGCAAUUGAAAGAACCUGCUUUCAAAGAAAAUCAUUCAUCCUUAUUUUAAUUAAAAUAGACACAUCUCUUAUAUAUACAGCACUGCUAUAUUCUAUCAAACAUAUAUAUUUGGUAACAGUUUUACUACAUUUUAAAUCAUCUAUACUUAAUUAGAAUUGUUAUUAUCCAUAAUUUCUUAAAUAUAUUACUAUGACUGGCCAACAACAUUCACGUUGCCUAAGAAAAUAGGGAUAAACAGAACUUUGGUCUUUCAUCUCAAGAUAGAUGUUACUAAGCUACAUCUCAUCUCAGAGAUAUUGCCUUUCAAUGAGACUGUAGCUUAUACUUUGCCUUUUUAUUUUCAAUACAAUAGAUAAUAUUUAAUACCUUUCAUAUAUUUACAAUACUAUUUACAUGAUAACACAAUAGUUUUAUCUUGGAUAAUUAAUACUUACUGUCUCUAAACAAAAUUUAAAUCCAGAAUUUUCUGAAGGAAAAUUUUUUGAUAGACUAGCAGUCUAACAUUUUCUCCUGAUCUCAACACACCAAUAAAGAAUGCUCAUUACCUGCUACCAAAAUAAUUUAAAAAAAAAAGCAUCUUAUUUAAAGAAAUAUAUCUUUCCCAUCUCAAGUUUUUACAUCAAUUUUUGUAGUGGGCCAUCAAUUUAAUACAAUGAUCUUACAUCAUUUCACUAAUCAAUGUCAUUAUGAUUUCAGUGUAUCAAACUGGAGACACAAACAUAUCAAAAUUACCAUCAUACUAAACAGGACUAUAAAAAGACUGAUAUGUAUAACUUCUAUAUAUAUUUCCACAGAUUUUAAAUGUCUGUAUUAUUUAUUAUUCAAGGAAAAGAGAAUGAAAUAUUUAGACUUAUCUCAUUUAAUAAAGCUUCACUAGAAUUUACUAAAAUGUGUGAAAAUUUAUCAAAAGCAUAUUUUCAAGCAAAAUUAUAAACAAAAGCAGCAAAUAAUAACAUAGCCGUUGUGAAUGAUGUGAGUUUAAACAGGAAAACAUAACGACAAAAAUCAUAGAAACCUCUCAUGGACCUUGCCUUAUGGAAUUUUGUUUAUUGUCUCUUUCAUGUCAUUUAACCAUUAAGACAUUUGCUGUUUUUUUUAUAUAUCUCAAUCAAAAUUUCUGCUCCUAUAUUUUAGAAAAAAUAUGCAACUUCGCUAUUGUAACAAUAAUGUCCGCUGCUAAAGGGGCCUUCUCUUUAAGCAAUGCCUACAGGUUACUAAAAUUAUUUAUUUUAUUUCAUUUGCUCACCAUAGAUAACAAAUCAUUUUUUUGUUAGAAAAAAUAUAUACACUAAUUCAUUCCAUCAUAAAAAUAAUCUCAUACAAGAAGUUAAUUUAUAACACAGUUUAACAAAAUACUUUUUUCUUUUUUCCAUCCCUGCAUUGGUUUAGUAAACAAACAACAAUACUAAAACACCUUUCCUAUUUACAAAGUAAUUUUAAGGAAUGUCAUAUACGAAUUACAUAACCAAGAUAAAUCAUACUGACUUAAAGUUAAGUAGAAAUAGUGAUGGCAACACACAGAAUAUAAAAGUUUUCUUAAUUUCCAGAAUACCUCUUUUAGCUUUCAAAUUUCUGAAAAAGUAACUUUGAAUAAUAUUUUAUGUAUUUUUUAACAUGAAAACUAUAGUUUUACUAGAUUGAUAAGAAAAGAAAGAAAACCAAUAUAUGCAUGAUCAGAGAAAUUAUAUGGUGAUAGGAUUUUCCUUUAAGAACCAUUUGCUUUUUCCCUACUUAAAAAAGAGUCAAGUUCUACAGGUAACCAAAAUGUCAUAUAAAAAAGAAAAUUUAAUUGAAGAAAAGAAAUUCUAAAUAUACUAAAUCUACUUCAAAUAUUUCAAUUCUAUUUCAUAUGUCUUGAAUAAAAGAAGAUUGAUGCUUAUUACAAAAGAUAAGUCACAAAAACUUGUUCUUUUCUUCUCUGUACAUAUUUAGAAAACAGUUACAUAAUAAAAGACUGUGCGAUUUCCGUUACAAAUAAAACAAUCCUAUACCAUACUGAUUGUGCUUAUCUUGAUUAAGUACUUCUAGACUAGACUACAUAUCACAGACGUAAGAACAACAACAAUGUUAAGAUGAGUUCAUGUUCCGAUAAAAUAUUAUCCCAAAUGUCAGCAAAACAAUCUGAAA